This 490-nucleotide ribosomal RNA is filed under the name uncultured bacterium. Its description in RNAcentral is "bacterial SSU rRNA". It matches the Rfam family "Bacterial small subunit ribosomal RNA", at positions 28 to 523 of the family's 1533-position model. The record is from RNAcentral.
GAUGAACGCUGGCGGCGUGCCUAACACAUGCAAGUCGAGCGGAGAUACUAAUUAGUUUACUAAGAAGUAUCUUAGCGGCGGACGGGUGAGUAACACGUGGGUAACCUGCCUUACAGAGGGGAAUAACAGUGCGAAAGUACUGCUAAUACCGCAUAACAUUGCGUUGUCGCAUGGCAAUGCAAUCAAAGGAGUAAUCCGCUGUAAGAUGGGCCUGCGUCUGAUUAGCUAGUUGGGGAGGUAAAAGCUCACCAAGGCGACGAUCAGUAGCCGAUCUGAGAGGAUGAACGGCCACACUGGAACUGAGACACGGUCCAGACUCCUACGGGAGGCAGCAGUGGGGAAUAUUGCACAAUGGGGGAAACCCUGAUGCAGCAACGCCGCGUGGAGGAUGAAGGUCUUCGGAUUGUAAACUCCUGUCUUUUGGGACGUAAAGAAAUGACGGUACCAAAGGAGGAAGCCACGGCUAACUACGUGCCAGCAGCCGCGGUAA